RNAcentral lists this ribosomal RNA (228 nucleotides) under Klebsiella pneumoniae. RNAcentral's name for it is "partial 16S ribosomal RNA". It matches the Rfam family "Bacterial small subunit ribosomal RNA", at positions 349 to 569 of the family's 1533-position model. The record is from RNAcentral. Lineage: Bacteria; Pseudomonadati; Pseudomonadota; Gammaproteobacteria; Enterobacterales; Enterobacteriaceae.
CAGCAGUGGGGAAUAUUGCACAAUGGGCGCAAGCCUGAUGCAGCCAUGCCGCGUGUGUGAAGAAGGCCUUCGGGUUGUAAAGCACUUUCAGCGGGGAGGAAGGCGAUAAGGUUAAUAACCUUGUCGAUUGACGUUACCCGCAGAAGAAGCACCGGCUAACUCCGUGCCAGCAGCCGCGGUAAUACGGAGGGUGCAAGCGUUAAUCGGAAUUACUGGGCGUAAAGCGCA